This 544-nucleotide ribosomal RNA is filed under the name Paralabrax maculatofasciatus (spotted sand bass). RNAcentral's name for it is "partial 16S large subunit ribosomal RNA". It matches the Rfam family "Bacterial large subunit ribosomal RNA", at positions 1846 to 2586 of the family's 2925-position model. Lineage: Eukaryota; Metazoa; Chordata; Actinopteri; Perciformes; Serranidae. The record is from RNAcentral.
UAAGAGGUCCUGCCUGCCCAGUGACCACGUGUUCAACGGCCGCGGUAUUUUAACCGUGCAAAGGUAGCGCAAUCACUUGUCCUUUAAAUGGGGACCUGUAUGAAUGGCACGACGAGGGCUUGACUGUCUCCUCUCUCCAGUCAAUGAAAUUGAUCUCCCCGUGCAGAAGCGGGGAUAAAACCAUAAGACGAGAAGACCCUAUGAAGCUUUAGACGCCAUGACAGAUUAUGUUAAACAACCCUUUUAAAGGAAUAAACCUAGUAACCCCUGUCCAAAUGUCUUUGGUUGGGGCGACCGCGGGGAAAUAAAUAACCCCCAUGUGGGACUGAGAGAACUAACUCUCUUACAACCCAGAGCUACAGCUCUAAGUAACAAAAUUUUUGACCUAAAGGAUCCGGCAAUGCCGAUCAACGAACCGAGUUACUCUAGGGAUAACAGCGCAAUCCCCUUUUAGAGUCCCUAUCGACAAGGGGGUUUACGACCUCGAUGUUGGAUCAGGACAUCCUAAUGGUGCAGCCGCUAUUAAGGGUUCGUUUGUUCAACG